Molecule: non-coding RNA, 1913 nt
Organism: Zonotrichia albicollis (white-throated sparrow)
Lineage: Eukaryota; Metazoa; Chordata; Aves; Passeriformes; Passerellidae
Source: RefSeq, a predicted model, not a curated record
GUCUGAUGCUCUCUUCAAUAAAUGGAAUUUGCUUAUCACUCAUAUUGAGUGCCUGAGUCUCCCCUCACCGACAAAUGGUCAUCCCCGACAAAGGCCUUGUUUCUGCGACAAGUUUGCACUGGGUUUGAAGGAAUGUGGCCCCUGGGGCAGAAAUCCCUGCACAGAUUCUGUGUCCUCCCGUGGCUCAUCUGAACAGUCCACGGGCUGGGCCUCCUUGUUUCCUUCUUCUCCAGGCUCUGGAUGAAAUCCUUCCUUUCCCAAGGGAGGGGAGAGCCAGCAGGAUGUGAACCAGAGGUGCUGCUUUAGGAAAGCCCCUCCAGCCUGGGCAGGAGCUCCUGGCUCCAGACACGUUCCCAGUGCCCAGGAGCAGCAGGACCUGUGCUGUUCCCAGCAGAGAAAAGCUGCCAAGGAAGAAAGGAAGAGCUUUCCUUGGUGAAAACCUUCCCAGUCCCACGCUGGGUUUGCACACACAGGAGGCUCCAUCCCUGCUGGAAUCCAGUCACAGCCCCCAGAUCAAUGUGCACUUUAAGGUCUCACAGCCCGACCAGGACAAUCUCCUGCCUCUGGACAUGGAAAAUCAGUUUUUCAUUGUUACAGCACCAGCUCCAGAAUCCUCUGAGGCUAAAACAAAGACAGGGAACCUUCUGAGAUAGAACGAGCCAGAGCAAGUUGUUGUGGGAAAGGAAGAUUAAAGAUGGUAAGUGGUAAAACCUUUGUUCAUCCUGACCUCUGUACUUGGCCUCUGUACCUGGGAAUGGGUCAGCUCUGGAAAUUUCCUGGAGACACUGGAGAAUGAUCCCUGGUCUGCUGAAAAGUGGGAAAACCCCACUGGCAAUUGCAGCCCCUGAGGGAGGGCAAAAGGAGCAGGACCUCAGUCUGUGAGUGUGUGAGAAAUAAGGGAGGGACAAAUCUAUGGAUCAUCCUGUGCCUCAGGGCACAAGGAAAAGCCCCUCACCUAAAAACUGAAGUGCUGUUCCACAGGGAGCCUGGGCAUUGAGCUCAUCCCAGCUUUCCUUCCAGAGCUGGAAGAACACCCCACAAUGUUGUUUGAGACAUUCCUGACUGGAACUGGGGCCAGCAGGGCACUUCCCUGUUUUCCUGUAGGAUAUGGGCUGGGACAUGAAUUGGCUCCAGCAGGGCCCAAGAUCACUUGGAAGGGGACCUUCACCCACACUCCCAAAAAGCUGAGAAGGAAGAAUGCCUGCCUGCAGCUGGCUGCAGCUCCUGGAGCUCUGGGGUUUCUGGCACACUCAGGGACAUGGGAUAAUGCCAGAAUCAUUCAAACCUUGGGAAUAAUGGAAUUAAUACCACCCCUUGAGCUCCUGCCCAUUGGCCACUGGCUGCAGAUGGCUGUGGAAGUGAUGGAGGCAUUCAGGGAAUGCUGAUUGUUUUUCCCUCCCUUUGGCAAUCUGGUCAGCAAAAAUACUAAUUGAGCUCUUCCAGCAGGGAAACAUUUAAGCAAGAGGUGUUGAAAAGAAUUGGAGUUUCUGAUUUUAAGUCUCCAACCUUAAGUCCUCUUUGGAUUGUCACUGGUCCAAUUUUCAUGGACUGGUCACCAUGGCCAGGAGUGUCCAAUCCUGCUGGAAAUGCACUGGACCAGGAUGUCAUUUUCAUUUGAUGCUGGUAAAGACCCUCUGGGUGACCCCCAGUCACUGGAAAGACUGGAUUGGGCUCCCAUGGCACCAAUUCCAGGGGUUCUAUUUUUGGGAAUAGCACAGGAGCCGUUCCCUUGCCCAGAGGAGCAGCAAGUGCUUCAAAUCCCCAGGAUGGACCACAGAGAAAAUAGCAGGAAUAUGGAAAUCCCCCACACUGGGAGUUUGUGGUGGUCUGAAUGACUUUUUGGAUUUAUAAUGUUAAAGGGAGGCUGUGGAAUGGCUUAUCUCCUUUUUAUUUUUAUUGUUCUCACUGCUCUU